UGGGGAAUAUUGCACAAUGGGCGGAAGCCUGAUGCAGCAACGCCGCGUGAGUGAUGAAGGCCUUCGGGUUGUAAAGCUCUGUCUUUUGGGACGAUAAUGACGGUACCAAAGGAGGAAGCCACGGCUAACUACGUGCCAGCAGCCGCGGUAAUACGUAGGUGGCAAGCGUUGUCCGGAUUUACUGGGCGUAAAGGAUGCGUAGGCGGAUUUUUAAGUGAGAUGUGAAAUACCCGGGCUUAACUUGGGUGCUGCAUUUCAAACUGGGAAUCUAGAGUGCGGGAGAGGAGAAUGGAAUUCCUAGUGUAGCGGUGAAAUGCGUAGAGAUUAGGAAGAACACCAGUGGCGAAGGCGAUUCUCUGGACCGUAACUGACGU
This 374-nucleotide ribosomal RNA is filed under the name uncultured bacterium. Its description in RNAcentral is "partial 16S ribosomal RNA". It matches the Rfam family "Bacterial small subunit ribosomal RNA", at positions 355 to 746 of the family's 1533-position model. The record is from RNAcentral.